RNAcentral lists this long non-coding RNA (41756 nucleotides) under Triticum aestivum (bread wheat). Its description in RNAcentral is "long non-coding RNA (TAES_LNC001299)". Lineage: Eukaryota; Viridiplantae; Streptophyta; Magnoliopsida; Poales; Poaceae. The record is from RNAcentral.
AUUGUUGGUGGCCUUGUAUAGAUGCAAAAUAUAUAUUCCAUAGUGGCCUUGUAUAAGUAAAUGGAGGGAGACAAAGAUUCAAUAGGAGUCACACCAAUCACUUUAAGAUCUUCAUCAUUAUUAUCAAAAAACUAGAAGAACACGCUUUUUACAAACCAAUCUCGCUUAGCACGCAUCUUAGCGCUUCUUUCUUUAUGCUCAUCAAUAUAAAAUUUAAUGGCUUUUAGAUAUUCAUUAAUAUUAUGCUUGGGUGGCAUAGAUCUAAUUUUCAAAGAAUCAAUCUCAAGAGAAAUUCUAUCAACAUCCCUAGCCAAAUCAUCAAUCUUGAGCAAUUUUUCUUCAACCAUAACAUUGUUUUUUUGGGAAUUAUUGAAAUAUUUAAUAUUGUUCUCAAGAUCAGAGGGUAUUUUAUUAUAAUUUCCAUAAGAAUUUUUGUAGGAAUUACAUGAUUAUUAGAGGAAUUACUAGGAAACGACCUAGGGUUGAAAUUACCUCUAUAAGCGUUAUUACCAAAAUUGUUCCUUCAAACAAAAUUCACAUCCAUAAAUUCAUUAUUGUUCUCAAUCAAAGUAGACAAAUUCAUGUCCUUAGGAUCAAUAUGAGCACUCUUACUAGCAAUCAAUUUCAUAAGUUCAUCCAUCUUUCCACUCAAAGUAUUAAUUUCUUCAAUCGCAUGCACCUUUUUACUAGUAGAAGAUCUUUCAGUAUGCCAUUGAGAGUAAUUAGCCAUAAUAUUAUCUAGGAGUUUAGUAGCUUCUCCUAACGCAAUUUCCAUAAAAUUACCUCUCACAACGAAAUCUAAAAGAUUUCUAGAUGUAAAAUUCAAUCCAACAUAAAAAAAUUGUAAGAUCAUCCAUAAACUUAAACCAUGAGUAGGGCAAUAUCUUAUCAUCAAUUUCGUCCUCUCCCAUGAUUGUGCAACAUGUUCAUGAUCAAGUUUCUUAAAAUUCAUUAUAUCAUUUCUAAGGGAGAUGAUCUUAGCGGGAUGAAAAUACUUGUAAAUAAAAACAUCUUUACACUUGUGUCAUGAAUCAAUACUAUUUUUAGGCAAAUAUGAAAACCAAGUUUUAGCACGAUAUCGUAAAGAGAACAGAAAUAGCUUCAAUUCAACAAUAUCAUUAUCCACAUCUUUUUUCUUUUGCAUGUCACAUAACUCAACAAAAGUAUUUAGAUGGGAUGCGGCAUCUUCACUAGGAAGGCACAAAAUUGAUCUUUCGUAAAAAGAUUCAACAAAGCGGUAUGAAUUUCAUAAGAUUCCGCACUAGUGGCGGGAGCAACCGGAAUACUAAUAAAAUCAUUAUUAUUAGUAUUGGAAAAAUCACACAACUUGGUAUUUUCUUGAGACAUCGUGACAAGGCAAGCAAUCUAGCACACAGGUAAACAAAAGGCAAACGAAAAGACAAACGAAAGAAGGGCAAAUAAAAAGGCAAAUAUUUUUAUGUUUUUCUGAAAAUGUUUUAGAAGUGGGGGAUAGGAAAAGGAGAGGCAAAUGGAAAAUAAUGCAAUGCAACAGAUGUAAUUUUAUGAUGGGUACUUGUUAGGCUUGAUGUAGAACCUCCCCGGCAACGGCACUAGAAAUUCUUCCUGGUACUUCUUGAGCUUGCAUUGGUUUUUCCCUUGAAGAGGAAAGGGUGAUGCAGCAAAGUAGAGAUAAGUAUUUCCCUCAGUUUGAGAACCAAGGUGUAAGUGCAUCUAGUGCCCCUUAGUGAUUUUGGUGUAUUGAAGACUUAUAGGUUAAGGGACUAAUGCGUUUGUGAGUGUACACAGGUUUAUAAGUCUAUGAGGAGUUUGAUAUUUACAGAGAAAGUCGACCCCUAAAAAUGAAGUUCUUUGACCGAAGACUUUGGACCUCUGCAGACCUUCUGAAGACUUUGAAAGUGAAGAAAUUGGUGUGAACGUGAAGACUUGGUAUUCAUUCGAGGAACAUGAAGCAUGAAGACUUUUGUUUUUGUAGUUUCAUUUUCUCUUUCUUGAGUCAUAGGAAACACCGUACUGUUAAAGGGGGUCGAGGAAAUACUAAGGAAAAAUUUCCAUGUGAUGCUCAACUCAAAAUCCUACACCUACCAAUCCCUUCGAGUGAAGCCAUUGGAAAUCUCAUACAGUUCAGUCAAUUUCUUCAGUGACAGAGACGAAGUUCCUCUGGUCUCUGAGGAAUUUGUCCUGACUGAGGAGUUAGGAAUUCGCCAGUGCGGAUUACCUACACAGUGAGGAACAUGAUAGCCCUGAGGAUUUUGCUACUCAAAAUUCCGACCGUUGAUGUGCUAUGCGCCAACUGUCUCAAAAUAUCUAUCCACCUAACGGUCAUAUCAUUAAAGGGCAUUUAUGUCUUAUCAUGUCAGGCUGCUCCCUAGGCUAUAAUAGACGCCCCCUACAACCACUAGUUGGUUGGCUGCUCCGAGAGAAACUAACACUUGUCAUUUGAGAGCAACCCAUCCUCCGAGGAAUUUGAGCAAAAAUCAUCAAGUGAGGAAAAACCGAAAAACCCAAAACCUAAACACCUACAAACCCCAAGUGAUUAAGCAUCACUGAAGAGAUUGAUCCUGCGUGGAUCCGACGCUUGUUACCUUUGAAGACUGUGCUUCUUCCAGACGAUUAGGCGUCAUGGUCUAGAGCAUCCAAGAGGAAUUGUGGAUCGCCGAGUGACCAAGUUUGUGAAGAUUUGGAAGUCACCUGAAGACUUACCACGAGUGAUUGGACGAGGUCUGUGUGACCUUAGUUCAAGGAGAAUACGGUGAGGACUGGGUGUCCUGAGCUGCGUGUUCAGGAUUGGCUGUCCGGGACUGUGUGUCCUCGAGUUUAAAUACCCAGCCGCUCCAACCAGACAUACAACUGAGACAGCAGUUGGAACUGGUCUACCAAAUCAUUGUCUUCACCAAGCUUACUGGUUCCAUUUCCUCAACUCUUUCAUUUCCUCAUAAUUGAGUUGUGUACUUGUUCAUAUAUGUGUUUAAAGACUUUGACUGAAGGCUUUCUCAAUUUCCUUAGUUCAAUUUCAUCAGUCUAUCUGUCUUCAUCCUGUGUUAUCCUGUGCUUACGCUUUCUGUACUCUGUGCCUGUCUUCAUUUCAUCAUGAUGACUAUGCUUGUAUUCUGUUAUGUUUACUUUUGAGUACUUAUUCCGCUGCUAGUAGUUCUUCGCUAAGGAAUUUCCUCACCAGCAAAUUCCUCAGUGAAGAAUUUCAUAAAAAUUGCCUAUUCACCCCUCUCUAGUCGAUAUAACGCACUUUCAAUUGGUAUCAGAGAAAGGUACUCCCUUGUUCUGUGUGAUUUUGGUUUAACCGACUGGAGUUUUAGUUAUGUCGACCACAGGUAUGAUCAAGGUCUCUGCUGGGUGUCCUACCUUCGGUGGGACGGACUACCCCUACUGGAAGAAUAAGAUGCGAAAGCAUCUUCAAGCAAUUGAUAACAAUCUCUGGUAUGUUGUGGAAAAUGGUGUUCCCUUAGUCACACCUUCUCUGAAUGCUGCUAUUGUGAAGAUAUUCAAGCAACUCGACUCUCAAGCGAAGAAUAUCAUAUGUGGCCAUCUGAGCAAAGGACAGUAUGGCAGAGUGAGUGCUUUGGAGACAGCGAAGAUUAUCUGGGACAGGUUGUCCAAAGUGAAUGAAGGAGUCUCAACUCAUCAUGACUCUCGAGUUGAUGUUCUUCGCAAUCUCUUCAACUGCUUCAAAAGACUCGACAAUGAAAAUGUUCAACAAACCUUUGAUCGCCUCACUGACAUCUCAAAUGAGCUUCAAGCACUUGGUGCCACUGACAUCAUCGACCAUGAGGUGGUGAAGAAAUUGCUAAGAUCGCUUGAUUCCUCAUUUGACACUUUGGCAUUGAUGAUACAAGAACGUGCUGAUUACAAGUCACUUGAUCCCGCUGAUAUUCUCGAAAGGCUAGAUACUCAUGAGUUCCAACUUGCUGAAAAGAGAGAUCUCUAUGGUUCAAGCUAUGGCAGGACCCGUGCACUGAAGGCCAAGGCAGUAUCUGAGUCCGAAGAUGAAGACUCUGGUAGCAGCCUUGGUGAUCCUAAAGAACUAAGCCAUGAUCUGGCUCUGCUUGUGAAGAAGUUCCAAAAGUUCUCAAGACGUGGUCACCUUGGAAGACCCUCAAGGAGCAGUGAUUCCUCAUCCAUUGACUACAAGAGGAGGCUCUGCCACAAAUGCAAGAAGCCUGGACAUUACAUUCAAGAUUGUCCUCAAUGGGAAAAGGAAUCAAAGAAGAAGAAAUACAAGGAUUAUAGUUCUGAUGAUGCGAAAAAAAGAAGAAAUCCACAAAAUCCUCAUCAUCAAAAUCCUCAAGGCCUUCAUAUCACAAGAAGAGCAGCUCCAAGAAGGUCAUGGCAUUCAUUGGCAAGGAAAUGGACUCUGAGGCUGAAUCUGAAGAAAAUGAGGAAGAGGAGUCAUCUGAGGAGUCUGAAUCUGGAGUGGCGAGCCUAACUCUCGCUACUGCAUUCGUCAGCAAGUCUAUCUUCGACACUAAAGAAAAUGACCUCACCAACAAAGCUGAUGAAGGGGAUGAUGACUACGCUCCCACCUAUUGCUUCAUGGCAAAGGGUGCCAAGGUACUCAAAUAUACCUCAUCUGAAUCAAGUGAGAAUGAAUCUGAUGAAAACCUUAAGCCCAGCUAUUCUAAACUUGCUAAAAUUGUUGUAAAACAACAAAGGGCUUUAGAAAAGGUUCAAAACAUGCUAGACAAAAGUGAUGAUAUGUUGGGUGAAGAAAUGGAUCGCACUAAAGCCUUGACUGAAAAUCUUCAGAGAUUUCAGACUAGGCUUGACAAUCUUCAAAGUCAUCAAAACACUCUCUUAUCGGAUCAUGAGAAGCUUUCUUAUGAAUUUCUUCAAAGAAAGCAAGACCUUGAGAAGCUAAGAGUGAGUUAUGAAGAUCUUCAGAAGGAGCGUGAUUCAUUACUUUCUCAACAUAUCAACGCUUCUCAGGAAGAAUUUGUUCCUCCAUGUUUGAAAUGCAUUGAACGUGAAACUGCUAAUUCUUCACCUGAAUGUUCAAAUGGUGCUAAUGUUUCAAAUUCUUCACAUGCCUCUGCUAUCACUAAUUCCUCAUCUGAGGACAUUGCUAGCAUCACUAACGAUGCAGGGCUGAAGGAAUUGUACAUGACAGGCAUGUACAAAAGCCUCAAAGGGCAUCAGACUCUUUGUGAUGUGCUUAAAAAGCAGAUCCUCAACAGGUACCCUAGGAAAGAGGGUAUUGCCUUUGAGAGGAAACUCAACGCUGAUGGUACAUAUUGGAAGCCUGAGCAGUACCCCAAAACUACAUGGGUUGCUGCAAAGGGACCUCCAGUUGAUCCAUCUAACCUAUCUUGAUAUGCAUGUGAAUCCCUCAUUCUGAUGAUGAGUCAUUUGACUCCAACUACAAACUGUUCAAAAAUCAGAAUGGUGAAGUAUUUGCUAGAUAUGUUGGCACUAACUGCAGGAACGGUCCCCCUAUGAAGAAAAUCUGGGUUCCCAAAAGAUGCCUUGAAAAUCUUCAGGUGAAUGUCAUCAUGACGCCACCUGUGAAGAAUAGGAACCCCAUAUCAAAUUCUUCAUAUGGAUCAAAGUCCUCAUAUGAACAUCAUCGUGCUAACCUGUCUGUUUCGCAGGGAAGAUCUAAGGAUUAUGGAUAUGUGCAUUAUUCUUCAAAUCAUUAUGUCCAUAAGUCCUCAAAGAAUUUCUCUGCUUACUCUUAUGCUUACUCUAACCCCUCUUAUGUGAAACGAAAUGGACUGGCUUCUAUGCCAUCCUUCUCGUAUGGAGCUCGCAGAAUGAUGAACUCUUUGCCACCCCUUCAAAUGUGGGUGGUGAAGAAAAAGAAAUAAUCUCUUCUGCAGGGUCAGGUCUCCAUACGUACAUAAUCGUCUGAAGAAUUUGCUGGAGACCUGAGUGUGCCUGAUAGGACGCAGGCUAAUCAUGAAGAAAUGAACUUUCAUUUCUCACGUCCUCAUAUUGCUUUAUCUGUUCUUUUGCUUGAUGAAAUUGAUCUGAUGAAUUGAUAUCAUAUUCUUCAUUGAUGAAGUAUAUGAGUUUGUAAGUUGCACUAAUUCAUCUGCAGGAUGAUCAACCCAAAGCCACUGAAUGGGUCCUCGAUAGUGGAUGUACAAAUCACAUGACUAGUGACAAGAAUCUAUUGAUGGAUGCUCCAUUGUCUCUGUCACAUCUGAAGCAUAUCAUCUUUGCUGACAAAGGCAAAAGUCAGGUAUUGGGUCUAGGUAAGGUUGCAAUCACAAAGGAUCGACACAUGGACAAAGUCAUGCUUGUUGAGUCCUUAGGAUACAACCUUAUGUCUGUCUCAAUGCUUUGUGAUCUUGAUAUGGUUGUUGUCUUUGGCAAGUACUGUUGUGUUGUGGUUAUGGAAGCUGACAAUUCCAAAGUCUUCGAAGGCUUUAGGAGAGGAGACCUGUAUAUUGUUGAUUUCUCUACAGGACCACAACCAGCCAUGUGCUUACUUGCAAAAGCUUCAGAAGGCUGGCUCUGGCAUCGACGACUUGGUCAUGUAGGCAUGAGGAAUUUGCACACGCUUGCAAAGAAGAAGCAUGUCAUUGGAAUCAAGAAUGUCAAAUUCCUCAAGGAUCACCUAUGCGGAGCCUGUGAAGCUGGGAAGAUGACGAAGGCCAAGCAUCCAACGAAGACUAUCAUGACCACCACUCGCCCAUUUGAAUUGCUUCACAUGGAUCUCUUUGGUCCUAAUUAUUAUUCUGCUAUUUCAAAUGAAGCAUCUCAAUAUGGGUAACCUUGUUACUUACAAACAUGAAGUGCAGGAAGUCUUCAAACGAUUUUCCUCGAGGGCUUCAACCAACUUUGGUGUGAAGAUCAAGCACAUCAGAAGUGACAAUGGCACCGAGUUCAAGAAUUCUGGUCUCGAUGACUAUCUUGAUGAACUUGGUAUUACUCAUGAGUUAUCUGCUCCUUAUACUCCUCAGCAGAACGGCGUCGUGGAGCGCAAGAACAGGACUCUUGCUAAGAUGGCUCGCACUAUGCUUGAUGAAUACAAAACGCCUCGUCGUUUCUGGACUGAGGCAAUUGAUACUGCGUGCCACAUCAUCAACAAAGUAUAUCUUCACAAAUUCUUCAAGAAGACUGCCUAUGAACUCCUCACUGAUAAGAAACCCAAUGUAAGUUAUUUCAAAGUCUUCGGUGCUAAAUGUUGGAUUAGAGAUCCUCAUCACAACUCAAAAUUUGCACCGAAAGCACAUGAAGGUUUUAUGCUUGGUUAUGGAAAGGACUCGCACACCUACAGAGUCUUCAACAACGUUCCUCACAAGGUUGUUGAAACUGUAGAUGUGCGGUUCGAUGAAACUAAUGGCUCGCAAAGAGAGCACCUACCUACUGUGAUAGAUGAACCAGCACCUGAAGAAACUAUCAAGUUCAAGGCUACUGAGGAUGUCAUUCCCACUGAAGAAUCUGCUAAAGAAUUCAUUCCAGAACAUGAAGAACGUCGAGCUAAUGCACCUGAAGAAAUUGGUGCUGAAGAAAACGCUGAUCAAAUUCUUCAACGACAACCAGCUCAUCCUUGCAUUGCAAAAGAAGUGCAAGUUGAAAAGAUCAUCAAUGACAUCAAAGCGCCAGGUCCUCUCACACGCUCAAAAGCUUCACAUUUGUCUAACUUUUGUGGGCACUAUGCUUUUGUCUCUAUUACAGAGCCCACUAAGGUAGAUGAAGCAUUUCUGUAGCCUGAGUGGAUUCAGGCCAUGCAAGAAGAAUUACAUCAGUUCGAGCUCAACAAUGUCUAGGAACUGGUCAAACGUCCAGAUCCUCGCAAUCACAAUAUCAUCGGCACAAAGUGGAUCUACUGCAACAAGCAAGAUGAAAAUGGCCUUGUGGUGAGGAAUAAGGUACGACUUGUAGCUCAAGGCUACACACAGGUUGAAGGAAUUGAUUUCGAUGAAACUUUUGCACCUGUUGCUAGACUUGAGGCUAUUCGCAUAUUACUUGCUUAUGCUAACCAUCAUGAUAUCAAUUUAUAUCAAAUGGAUGUGAAACGUGCAUUCCUCAAUGGUAAGCUUGAGGAAGAAGUAUAUGUUGCUCAACCCCCAGGUUUUGAAGAUCCAAAGAAUCCUGACAAAGUCUUCAGACUCAACAAGGCCCUCUAUGGCCUCAAGCAGGCCCCACGGGCGUGGUAUGAUACUUUGAAGGAAUUCCUCAUGACGAAAGGCUUCAAACCCGGUUCACUCGACCCUACUCUUUUCACUAAAUCUUAUGAUGGUGAAUUGUUUGUGUGCCAAAUAUAUGUUGAUGAUAUUAUCUUUGGUUGUACUGACCAACGUUAUAGUGAUGAAUUUGCCUAUAUGAUGAGUGAAGAAUAUCAAAUGUCUAUGAUGGGAGAGCUGAAAUUCUUCUUAGGACUUCAAAUUCAUCAACAACGCAAUGGCAUAUUCAUAUCUCAGGAGAAAUACCUCAAGGAUGUACUGAGGAAAUUCGGCAUGCAAGAUUGCAAAGGCGUCAAAAUUCCUAUGCCCACAAAUGGCCAUCUGUGCACUGAUGAAAAUGGUAUUGACUUCGAUCAUAAGGUAUACCGCUCCAUGAUUGGUUCUUUAUUGUACUUAUGUGCAUCUAGGCCAGAUAUAAUGCUUAGUGUUUGCAUGUGUGCCCGAUUUCAAGCUACACCGAAGGAAUCACACCAUAAGGCUGUGAAGCAUAUUCUUCGAUAUCUAGCUCACACACCAACACUUGGAUUAUGGUACCCCAAGGGCUCGGUUUUUGAUCUCAUUGGAUAUUUUGACUCUGACUAUGCUGGUGAUCGUGUGGACCGCAAGUCAACAUCUGGUACAUGGCAAUUCCUCGGAUGAUCCUUGGUCUGUUGGUCCUCGAAGAAACAGAACUGCGUAUCACUGUCUACUGCUGAAACUGAGUACAUUGCCGCUGGUUCUUGCUGUGCCCAAUUGCUAUGGAUGAAGCAAACUCUCAAGGACUACGGCGUCAACAUGAAGAAUGUGCCUCUCUACUGUGACAAUGAGAGUGCCAUCAAGAUUGCUCAUAACCCAGUUCAGCACUCGAAGACAAAGCACAUUCAGAUUCGUCGACAUUUUCUUCGUGAUCAUGUGUUGAAGGGCGACAUUUCUAUUGAGCAUGUGAAGACUGAAGAACAUCUAGCCGAUAUCUUCACAAAGCCCUUGGAUGAGAAGAGAUUUAGCAAGUUGCGGUGUCAGCUAAAUAUCCUAGAAUCUUCGAAUGUUCUUUGAAAAGGACACUCAUCCUAACACUUAUGCAAAAUUGAUGGCUUAGAUGUGCAACAUAUGAAGAAAUGUUUUUCUUCAAUUCAAUGAAGAACAACACUCUUAGUGUGAAGAAAUUAACGAAGAAUUUAAUUCUCAGAAUCCUACGAUAAUUGUACGCGGUGUCUGAAAUCAUCAUUCUUAUACGGUGGGUCACGCCACCACCAAAAGUUGAAAUUCCUCAAUUAUUCAUAUUCUUCAACUUUGCAUUGUCUUCACUACUUCCAUUGUUUUUCUUCAUUGGCUAUAUAUAUAUAUAAGUUUAUGUCCUCUACAACAUUCACUUAUUGCUAAUUCUUCAAGUUGGUUUUUCUGCUAAGUGAAUGUGAUCGGACCCUUCCCCCUCUAUGCUAUACUCAACCCAAUCUAUUCACAAAUUCUUCAUGUGCGUUCUAUUUGAAACUCGUUCAAAAUCUUCACUGUGUCCUUGUCAGCUGAAGAAAUUGCGAACGGAACUUUAAAACCUAUCUUAUCGAAAUUUUUGGCUUUGCACUCAAACCGUUCCGCAUCCCACGUUAUACUUAUCCACUCACCCAUGAUCUAACACAAUCUCCACCUCUCAGUACGUGGGUGACACAUGUCAAGCGAAUGAGAAGGGUCAGGGGCACGUUCGUCCAAUUUCUUCGGGCGAGCAGUUUUUCACCGUGGCUAUAAAUACCCCUCCGUCCCUUCCUCACUUCUUUUACUCCGCUCGACCUCUCUAUCCAGCUCGAGCUUCUCAAACCCUAACGCCGCCGCUAAUUCAUCGCCGCCGGUGAGGAAGAGCUUCACUGCCUCGACCUCGUCGCCGACGUACUCGCGCCGACCGUGGAAAUCUUCACUCCGUCGCCGCCGUAGCCGUCUUCCUCCGCCAAGUUAGGGCGUGGAAGAUCUGCACAGACGAACUUCACAUCUCCUCACUCCAGUUCGUCAUGUUCUUCAUCCAGGGUAAUUAAAAGUUACUUUUACUGCCCUUGUUGAUUCGAGUGAUUAUCUUCAAAAUCUUCAAAGGUGUUUUUCUUCAUAGCUUCACACACUAAACACCUCACAAGUCAUCUAUUCUUGAUUCGUUUCUCUAAGCAUCAUUUUUCUUCAAGAUUCCUCAAUUGUGUGGAUCUUCGAUCUAUACAACUCUGGAACCUAAGACAAAGAACGCUUAGUGAAAUUCUUCAAGACUCAUCUGGUCAAAUUCCUCAAAGUUGUUCUUUUUGAAAAACCCUCUGAGAACGCAUAUGACCUCUCCAAAUUCCUCGCAACUAUACUCUGUUCACAUGUACACAUGUCAGCUGCUGAAUCGCUAGGUUCUCAUCAACUUAACUCAUUCGCAGCGUUCCUCAAAGAAAAGUUGCAUACUUCUUCAGAGAAUUCAAUUGUCCAAAUUCCUCAACUGAAGAAAAUGGCUGACGCUAAGAAGCCAUAGAAGGGAGGAAAGAGGCCUGAGGUCAAUACAGCAUUUGAGAUCCCUGAUGAAAUAUAUGCUGGGUACUGCACACCUACUGAGGAAACCAAGAAUGAGCGCAAGGUGCGCAUUCAGAAAAUAGAAAGGAGAUGUGCAAGAGAGUGGAGGGAGUACAAGUAUGUAACUCCAAAGUAUAUGAAGAAAUUCACACUCAAUCCUCCAUGCCCAAGAGCUCCAUUGGCACCUGGCCAAAUCGCUGAUCCCACCAGCCUCAAGUGUGGUGAGGACUAUCCUGAUGAAUGGGCCAAGCGCCAAGCCAAGUUGGCUAAGCAAGCCAAAGAAGCAGUGGGGAAAUUCAAUGAAGCCUCUGCUGAGGCUCUUGUUGUCAAGCCAAAGAAGGCUAUGUCAAAGAAGCCUGCGUGCAAGCCAAGUGCUUCACCAACAAUGUACUCAAGGCCAAGUUCUUCAGCAAUGCCCUCACGGCCAGAAUCCUCAAAGCCCUCACGAUCAAUUCCUCAUGCUGCUCCUGCUCCUCCAAAGUCCUCAGCUCCCCCGCCAAAGCCCUCAGCUGUUCCGACUAAAUCCUCAGCACCUGUGCAUCUCGCCUCGUGCCAAAGGACUGCAGGCAUCUCCAUUGCCUCAGGUGUCUCAGCUAGUUCCUCAGCUGCACCAAGUUCCUCAGCUGGCCCCUCACUGCUCAAGACAAAGGCCACUGCUGGACGAGGUCCUCGACCAAGUCCUCAAAAGAAGCAAGUCGCGUUCCAAGUGCCGUCUGAUGAAGACAAAGCUGAUGAUGAUGAACUUGCAGAAAUCAUCAGAGAUAGGCAAGUCAGGGCCGCUAGAGCCAAAGGAACAGGGGUGCCACUGCUUUUGGAUCCCAAGUUGAUUCUUGACUACAUUGAUGUUUGGCACAAGGACCCCAACACUCCCAUGUUUGACUUCAAGCUGACUCCUGGCCAAAGUCACAUGCUGACCCACUUCAUUCAAGAAGAAAAGUGGAAUUUUGAGAAGCCCGGGCAGACCAAGAAAGCGCAGUACAAGAAAGAGCGCUAUCUGAAGAAAAACGUUGUCUCUAUGACAACUGAAGAACUUGUCACUAUUCAGACUGAGAUCAAGAAACUCAGUGAUGACUUUGACGUAUAUCGCGCUGAUUGGCUUGGAACCAAGGUUCGCUUUGUGAAACUUGCGGAUAACUUCACUUCCAAUGUUGCAACCCCAACGCAACAGGAAAUUCCCCAGGCUGAAGCAUCCGCUCAGCCUACUGAAGAAAAUGCCAGCACCGCUGAUGACAAUCAGGCUGCUAAAGAAAAUGUGAGUUCCAGGGCUGAUGACUGCAUUCCAGCCGCUGAAGAAAUUGCCAGGGCACCCACUAGUGGUGCGCCUGAAGAAAAUGAAGAACUCAGGGCAACUGCAUCAGUUGUGCCUGAAGAAAAUCAACCAGAUUCCUCAGCUGCUCCUACACCAACUUCAACUCCAAUCCUUCCAUCUGCAUCAGAUGUGAAGAAGACCAAGGCUGCAGAGCGUGCUGCAGUGAAGAAAACGAAAGCAUCAGCUGCUUCAGAUUCUUCAGCUCCGAAGAAAAUGAAGCCUAUGACAAGUUCAUUUGCAAAUCCCAUUGAUGCUAUUCCCAUCUCAACCAGGCCAUCAAAGGACCUUGUUCCUUUUGAUGAAGAAACUCCUUCUGCUGCUUCGUCUGAGCCGUUGGAUGAAGAAAUUGAAGUGGAUGCGAUCCCUUCAACACCUGUCAUCUCCUCACCCAUGCCUUAGUUCACAUCUGAAGAGGCUGGCGUUGAAGAAAUGGAAGAUGAAGAUGUGGACAUUGGCUGCUCCACACCCAUAAUCAGUGAUGAAUUCUGGGACAGUCAACAUCCAAACUCUCCAAUUUUCACACCGCUGCAGCAAAUACCUCAGUCGCCUGCACCAACUGUUCAAAUGGGCUCUGAAGAAACUCAUCCCACUGCAUCUGUCCAUGAGGAAAUUCCAGCCACUAGCGCUGAAGAAACUGCUGCUGCUGAACAACCAACGACACAGACUGCCAUUGAGGAGGAACCAGAAAUUCCUCAGCCUGAAAAACCUGCGAUUGAGAUUCCUGAGGUCGUGAUGCAACUCACUGACACUCCUCUGCCGAAGCCAAAGGAUCCAUUCUCACGCAAGCAAAAGUUCAAGGCUGAUAAUUUCUUCGGCGAGCACAUAUUCUUCAAAGAUUACAACCCAUAUAACUCUGCUCGCAUUAGGAAGAGGCGUUUCUGGACUGCUAGUUAAGCCAAUUUCUAUUCCUCAGUGCUGUUUAACAAGGAGAAAAUCUUCUACCAUGAGCAUAUUCCUCACGUGGAUAUGGAAUCUCUGCCGUGCUUCGCACCAGUCCUCAGUGUUCUUCACGACGCUGGACUGCUAAACAUUUGCUCUGACAUGUGCGAUUGGAAUGAAGAACUGAUUCUUCAAUUCUAUGCAACGCUGCACAUCACCGGAGAUGCUGAAGAUGUGAAUUCAUGGGUGCUGGACUGGAUGUCUGAAAACACUCACUACACUGCACCAGCCUCUGAAUUGCUUCGUGCUCUACCACUCAGUCCUCCCCUUGAAGAAGCUCGCUGCAUCUACAGUGAACCUGAGCUCACACAUCAUUACAUGCAGGUGCUGAUGAAACCUUUGAAGCCAGGUCAAGCACCAAGAACCAAAUUCCUCGUGAAGGAAUUGAUGUACGUGCCCAGAACUGUCUAUCAUAUUUUUACGAGGACAAUCAUUCCUAUCAAAGGCCACGACUCAUCUGAUGAGGAAAUUGUUGGCAUCAUGAAGAAUCUAGUAUUCAACAUCGUUCAUGGCAUUCCUGUCAAUUAUCACGAUUUCUUCAUGAGGACUAUGGCAAAUGUUGCACUGUCUCCGUUUGAGCUGAAGCCUUAUGCACCUUGGAUUAUGAGAUUCCUCAGGACAAGGUCUUCACUCAACUACAAAGCUGAUUUCCAGAAUCACCUCAACUACUUGCCCCCAAUUGAAGUCCUCAAGCAGACAUAUUCCUCAGUUAAUGGAAAGGGCAAGGCACCAGCUGUAAUAGAUGAAGGCAUUCGUCCAUUGGAUGGUCAGUUUCGCAAAGCUGCAUCUUAUUCCACCAAUGAUGACUUUGCCACACAUGACUCUGCCAAUGCACCCAAGUCUACUCCUCAAGCCACUGCUCCGCGCGUGAUGACUGACCGUGAACUUCUGCUUAGUCUUCACCAGAAGGUGGAUCAAAAUCACAAAUGAGUUAAGCGUCAGUUUGGUUCACUUCUUCACAACAUGACUGCGACACACGAUGCAGUGAAGAAAAACCAUUACUACCUCCAUCAAGUCUUCGGUCGCACCUGGGCAAUCCUGUCACAUCUGUAUGGUGAAGAAGAUCUGAAGAAAAUGGGUCUCAAAGAAGAUUUUGACUGGUUUGCACCUCCACCGAAGAAAUUCAAGAAGGUCAAGGUUCCUUCUUUGGUGGCCAGCUCAUAUUCUUCAUCGCGCGACACCGAUGAAAAUGAAGACUUGGACGAAACUGCGGCAGGCCCUACUACAACAAAUGACCCCAACAACGCUGGUGCUCCUUCAUCAACUUGAUAUUCUUCAGGGGCGUUAGUCCUCAUAUUCGAUCCUUUUGGUCAUUUGAUGACAAAGGGGGGGGGGAGAAUUUUGAGUUAGUCUUCAAGCGGGUCUUUCUAUAUGGGCAUUUUUUUGUUAAGUUACAACUCUCGUUCUUCUGAGACUUUAUUGGAUCAAGUUGUAAACUUAAACCCGAUGGUGCUCUAAUACUCUUGUACGUUUUUCUACAUGCUUAUUCCUCAUUAAUAUUAUUGCACGCAUGCUGAAUUACAUCAGUCACCAUAUUUCAUCAUGCAUUUCAAAUUCUUCACUGUUAUAUGUCAAAUGCGUGUAUGAAUUACAAGAUAUAGGGGGAGAUCUCCAUGAUUCAACUCUUCAAGUGUGCAUUGCUUCAAGAGCAAAUUCCUCACUAUGCACAUCUUCAGGGGGAGUUCUUGUAUAUCUUGCAAUCAAAUUCCUCAAUAUCAGUAGUUACACUUCAUAUGUUUAUCCCCAUUGAAAACUUAACCUAUAUUGUCAUCAAUCACCAAAAAGGGGGAGAUUUUAAGUGCAUCUAGUGCCCCUUAGUGAUUUUGGUGUAUUGAAGACUUAUAGGUUAAGAGACUAAUGCGUUUGUGAGUGUACACAGGUUUAUAAGUCUAUGAGGAGUUUGAUAUUUACAGAGAAAGUCGACCCCUAAAAAUGAAGUUCUUCGACUGAAGACUUUGGAUCUCUGCAGACCUUCUGAAGACUUUGAAAGUGAAGAAAUUGGUGUGACCGUGAAGACUUGGUAUUCAUUCGAGGAACAUGAAGCGUGAAGACUUUUGUUUUUGUAGUUUCAUUUUCUCUUUCUUGAGUCAUAGGAAACACCGUACUGUUAAAGGGGGUCGAGGAAAUACUAAGGAAAAAUUUCCAUGUGAUGCUCAACUCAAAAUCCUACACCUACCAAUCCCUUCGAGUGAAGCCAUUGGAAAUCUCAUACAGUUCAGUCAAUUUCUUCAGUAACAGAGACAAGUUCCCCUGGUCUCUGAGGAAUUUGUCCUGACUGAGGAGUUAGGAAUUCGCCAAUGCGGAUUGCCUACACAGUGAGGAACAUGAUAGCCCUGAGGAUUUUGCUACUCAAAAUUCCAACCAUUGUUGUGCUAUGCACCAGCUGUCUCAAAAUAUCUAUCCACCUAACGGUCAUAUCAUUGAAGGGCAUUUAUGUCUUAUCAUGUCGGGCUGCUCCCUAGGCUAUAAAUAGCCGCCCUCUACAACCACUAGUUGGUUGGCUGCUCCGAGAGAAACUGACACUUGUCAUUUGAGAGCAACCCAUCCUCCGAGGACUUUGAGCGAAAAUCAUCAAGUGAGGAAAAACCGAAAAACCCAAAACCCAAACACCUACAAACCCCAAGUGAUUGAGCAUCACCGAAGAGAUUGAUCCUGCGUGGAUCCGACGCUUGUUACCUUUGAAGACUGUGCUUCUUCCAGACGGUUAGGCGUCAUGGUCUAGAGCAUCCAAGAGGAAUUGUGGAUCGCUGAGUGACCAAGUUUGUGAAGGUUUGGAAGUCACCUGAAGACUUACCACGAGUGGUUGGACGAGGUCUGUGUGACCUUAGUUCAAGGAGAAUACGGUGAGGACUGGGUGUCCUGAGCUGCGUGUUCAGGACUGGGUGUCCGGGACUGUGUGUCCUCGAGUUUAAAUACUCAGCCGCUCUAACCAGACGUACAACUGAGACAGCAGUUGGAACUGGUGUACCAAAUCAUUGUCUUCACCAAGCUUACUGGUUCCAUUUCCUCAACUCUUUCAUUUCCUCAUAAUUGAGUUGUGUACUUGUUCAUAUCUGUGUUUGAAGACUUUGACUGAAGACUUUCUCAAUUUCUUUAGUCUGUUUGUCUUCAUCCUGUGUUAUCCUGUGCUUACGCUUUCUGUACUCUGUGCCUGUCUUCAUUUCAUCAUGAUGACUAUGCUUGUAUUCUGUUAUGUUUACUUUUGAGUACUUAUUCCGCUGCUAGUAGUUCUUCGCUAAGGAAUUUCCUCACCAGCAAAUUCCUCAGUGAAGAAUUUCAUAAAAAUCGCCUAUUCACCCCCCUCUAGUCGAUAUAAUGCACUUUCACAAGGUAUCAAUCCAGUAGGAGGUACACGCAAGUCUCCAAUCUAUGCACAUACACAAACAAUCAAACAGUUGCACCCAACGCGAUAAAGCGGUUGUCAAUCCCUUCAGGUCACUCGCAAGGAUGAGAUCUGAUAGAUAUACAUAUAAAAGAUUACUAAAAUGUAAAGCAAAGUAAAAACAAAUAAAUUGUAGCAAGGUAUUUUUGAGUUUUUUGGUUUAUAGAUCUGAAAAUAUAUGAUGUAAAAUAGACCCGGGGGCCAUAGGUUUCACUAGAGGCUUCUCUCUUGAAAGAAAGCAUACGAUGGGUAAACAAAUUACUGUCGAACAAUUGGUACAAAAGCGCAAAGUUAUGACGAUAUCCAAGGCAAUGAUUAUGAAUAUAUGCAUCACGCCCGUGUCAAGUAGAACGAAAUGAUUCUACAUCUACUACUAUUACUCCACACAUCGACCGCUAUCCAGCAUGCAUCUAGAGUAUUAAGUUCAUAGGAACGGAGUAACACCUUAAGUAAGGUGACAUGAUGUAGACGGAUAAACUCAAGCAAUAUGAUAAAAAACCAUCUUUUACCCUUGAUGGCAACAAUACAAUGCGUGUCUCGCUACCCCUACUUUGUCACUGGGUGAGGACACCGCAAGAUUGAACCAAAAACUAAGCACCUCUCCCAUUGCAAGAAGAACCAAUCUAGUUGGCUAAACCAAACAGAUAAUUCGAAGAGAAAUACAAAGAUAUUUAAUCAUGUAUAAAAGAGUUUAAAAAAGACUCAAAUAAUAUUCAUAGACAAUCUGAUCAUAAAUCCACAGUUCAUCGGAUCUCAAUAAACACACCGCAAAAGAAUAUUACAUCGGAUAGAACUCCAAGAACAUCGAGGAGAACAUGGUAUUGAAGAUCAUAGAGAGAGAAGAAGCCAUCUAGCUACUAGCUGUUGACCCGUAGGUCUGUGGUAAACUACUCAUGCUUCAUCUGAAGGGCAAUAGAGUUGAUGUAGAUGCCCUCCGUGAUCGAAUCCCCCUCCGGCAGGAUGCCGAAAAAGGCCCCAAGAUGGGAUCUCACGGGAACAGAGGCUUGCGGCAGCGGAAAAGUAUUUUGGUGGACGCUUUUGUUGGUUUGGGAAUAUUUGGGAAUUUAUAGCGAAAGAAUUAGGGUCAGAGGAAUCCUGAGGGGCCCACAAGCCAGGGAGGCGUGCCCCCCUAGGGCGCGGCAUGAGGGCUUUUGGGUCCCUCGGGACUCUUCUAGCCCCCUCUCGAAGCUCUGUGGAUGUCUUCUGGUCCAAGAAAAAUCAUCACUAAAUUUUUAUUCCGUUUGGACUCUGUUUGAUAUUCCUUUUCUGUAAAACUCAGAAACAAGGGAAAUCAGAAAAUAGCACUGGACUCUAGGUUAAUAGGUUAGUCCCAAAAAUAAUAUAAAAUAGCAUAUUAAUGCAUAUAAAACAUCCAAAACAAAUAAUAUAAUAGCAUGGGACAAUAAAAAAUUAUAGAUACGUUGGAGACGAUCACAUUUACAGUGUUACUUGCGUUUGAUGUGUCUUGUCUUCAUGUGGGAUCUUAGUUCCUUUGCUUGAGCAACGGGACCACUAUCAUCACAAUAGAGCGCCAUUUGGUUCAUCGCACUUGGGACCGCACCAACUUCUUGGAGAAACUUCUUGAUCCAGACCGCCUCCUUCAAAACUUCUGAAGCUGCAAUAUACUCUGCUUUUGUCAUAGAAUCCGCAACAAUGUUCUGGUUGGAACUUUUUCCAAACCACACCACCAUUAAGGGUGAAAACAUAUCCCGAUUGAGAUUUAUAGUCAUCUAUAUCAGCCAUGAAGCUAGCAUCGGUGUAACCAUUUAUAACGAGUUCUUCAUCUCCUCCAUAAACAAGGAGCAUGUCCUUUGUUCUUUUGAGGUACUUAAGAAUAUUUUUAACGACAGCCCAGUGUCGGGAUCACUUUGGUACCUACUACUAACACUUAGCGCAUAAGAAACAUCUGGUCUAGUACAUAUCAUAGCAUACAUGAUGGAUCCAAUUGUAGAGGCAUAUGGGACUCCACUCAUCUGCACUCGCUCAUCAACUGCCUUGGGACAUUGAUUCUUGUUGAGUGUUGUGCCAUGUGACAUUGGGAGAAAUUCUUUCUUUGCAUUCUAUUUUAAACCUCUUUAAAACCUUGUCAAUUACGUGCUCUGGCUUAGUGCAAUUAUACGUCUUGAUAUAUAUAUAUAUAUAUAUAUAUAUAUAUAUAUAUAUAUAUAUAGAUCUUUAUGCCCAAUAUAUAUGCAGCUUCAUCUAAAUCUUUCAUUGAAAACACACUCUUUAAAUAGUCUUUUAUCGUGCUAAGAAACUUUGUAUCAAUUCCAAUCAACAAUAUGUCAUCCAAAUUAGAAAUGCUAUAGAGCUCCCACUAAACUUUUUGUAUACACAAGCUUCCUUAUCAUUUCUAAUGAAGCCAAACUCUUUUACAACUUCAUCAAAAUGUUAAUUCCAGCUCCUUGAUGCUUGCUUCAAACCAUAGAUAGACCUUUGAAACUUGCACAACUUUAUAGCAUCUUUAGGAUUGACAAAACCUUCUGGUUGUAUCGUAUAUACAUCCUCUUUCAGAUAUCCAUUUAGGAAAGCAGUUUUGACAUCUGUCUGCCAAAUUUCGUAAUCAAAAUAUGUAGCAAUAGCCAUCAUAAUCCACACAGAUUUUUGCAUAGCUACUGGUGAGAAACUCUCAUCAUAAUCAACUCCCUCAACUUGCGAAAAUCCUUUCGCAACUAACCUUGCUUUAUAGAUAGUAGGAUUUGUUGGGGAACGUUGUAGAAAACAAAACUUUUCCUACGGUUUCACCAAGAUCCAUCUAUGAGUUCAUCUAGCAACGAGUGAUCGGAUUGCAUCUACAUACCUUUGUAGAUCAUGCGCGGAAGCGUUCAAAGAACGGGGAUGAGGAAGUCGUACUCGACGUGAUCCAAAUCACCGGAGAUCCUAGCGCCGAACGGACGACACCUCCGCGUUCAACACACGUACGGUCAGCAUGACAUCUCCUCCUUCUUGAUCCAGCAAGGGGGAAGGAGAGGUUGAUGAAGAUCCAGCAGCACGACGGCAUGGUAGUGGAUGCAGGGGUCACCGCAACAGGGCUUUGCCGUUCUACUACGAGAGGGAGAGGUGUAGCAGGGGAGAGGGAGGCGCCAAGACUCAAGGGUGUUGAUGCCCCUCCCUUCCCCCCCUUUAUAUAGGCCCCCUAGGGGGUGCGCCGGCCCUAGGAGAUGGGAUCUCCUAGGGGGGUGGCGGCCAAGGGGUGGAGUGCCGCCCAAGCCAGGUGGGGCGCCCCCCCACCCUAGGGUUCCCAACCCUAGGCGCAUGGGGUGGGCCAAGGGGGGCGCACCAGCCCAAUAUGGGCUGGUUCCCCUCCCCACUUAGCCCAUGGGGCCCUCCAGGAUUGGUGGCCCCACCCGGUGGACCCCCGGGACCCUUUCGGUGGUCCCGGUACAAUACCGGUGACCCCCGAAACUCUCCCGAUGGCCGAAACUGCACUUCCUAUAUAUAAUUCUUCACCUGCAGACCAUUCCGGAACUCCUCGUGACGUCCAGGAUCUCAUCCGGGACUCCGAACAACUUUCGGGUUACUGCAUAUUCAUAUCUCUACAACCCUAGCGUUACCGAACCUUAAGUGUGUAGACCCUACGGGUUCGGGAGACAUGUAGACAUGACCGAGAUGGCUCUCCGGUCAAUAACCAACAGCGGAUCUGGAUACCCAUGUUGGCUCCCACAUGCUCCUCGAUGAUCUCAUCGGAUGAACCACGAUGUCGAGGAUUCAAGCAACCCCGUAUACAAUUCCCUUUGUCAAUCGGUACGUUACUUGCCCGAGAUUCGAUCGUCGGUAUCCCAAUACCUCGUUCAAUCUCGUUGCCGGCAAGUCACUUUACUCGUACCGUAAUGCAUGAUCCCAUGACCAGACACUUGGUCACUUUGAGCUCGUUGUGAUGAUGCAUUACCGAGUGGGCCCAGAGAUACCUCUCCGUCAUACGGAGUGACAAAUCCCAGUCUUGAUCCGUGUCAACCCAAUAGACACUUUCGGAGAUACCCGUAGUAUACCUUUAUAGUCACCCAGUUACGUUGUGACGUUUGGUACACCCAAAGCACUCCUACGGUAUCCGGGAGUUACACGAUCUCAUGGUCUAAGGAAAAGAUACUUGACAUUGGAAAAACUCUAGCAAACGAACUAUACGAUCUUGUGCUAUGUUUAGGAUUGGGUCUUGUCCAUCACAUCAUUCUCCUAAUGAUGUGAUCUCGUUAUCAAUGACAUCCAAUGUCCAUAGUCAGGAAACCAUGACUAUCUGUUAAUCAACGAGCUAGUCAACUAGAGGCUUACUAGGGACAUGUUGGUGUCUAUGUAUUCACACAUGUAUUACGAUUUCCGGAUAACACAAUUAUAGCAUGAAUAAAAGACAAUUAUCAUGAACAAGGAAAUAUAAUAAUAAUCCUUUUAUUAUUGCCUCUAGGGCAUAUUUCCAGCAGUCUCCCACUUGCACUAGAGUCAGUAAUCUAGUUACAUUGUGAUGAAUCGAACACCCAUGGAAUUCUGGUGUUGAUCAUGUUUUGCUCUAGGGAGAGGUUUAGUCAACGGAUCUGCUACAUUCAGGUCCGUAUGUACUUUACAAAUAUCUAUGUCUCCAUCUUGAACAUUUUCACGAAUGGAGUUGAAGCGACGCUUGAUGUGCCUGGUCUUCUUGUGAAACCUGGGCUCCUUGGCAAGUGCAAUAGCUCCAAUGUUGUCACAGAAGAGUUUGAUCGGCCCCGACGCAUUGGGUAUGACUCCUAGGUCGGUGAUGAACUCCUUCACCCAUAUUGCUUCAUGCGCUGCCUCCGAGGCUGCCAUGUACUCCGCUUCACAUGUAGAUUCCGCCACGACGCUCUGCUUGCAACUGCACCAGCUUACUGCCCCACCAUUCAAAAUAUACACGUAUCCGGUUUUGACUUAGAGUCAUCCAGAUCUGUGUCGAAGUUAGCGUCGACGUAACCCUUUACGACGAGCUCUUCGUCACCUCCAUAAAUGAGAAACAUUUCCUUAGUCCUUUUCAGGUACUUCAGGAUAUUCUUGACCGUUGUCCAGUGUUCCUUGCCGGGAUUACUUUGGUACCUACCUACCAAACUUACGGCAAGGUUUACAUCAGGUCUGGUACACAGCAUGGCAUACAUAAUAGAACCUAUGGCUGAGGCAUAGGGGAUGACACUCAUCUCUUCUAUAUCUUCUGCCGUGGUCGGACAUUGAGCUGAGCUCAAUUUCACACCUUGCAACACAGGCAAGAACCCCUUCUUAGACUGAUCCAUAUUGAACUUCUUCAAUAUCUUAUCAAGGUAUGUGCUUUGUGAAAGACCUAUGAGGCGUCUUGAUCUAUCUCUAUAGAUCUUGAUGCCUAAUAUAUAAGCAGCUUCUCCAAGGUCCUUCAUUGAAAAACUCUUAUUCAAGUAGGCCUUAAUGCUGUCCAAAAGCUCUAUAUCAUUUCCCAUCAAAAGUAUGUCAUCUACAUAUAAUAUGAGAAAUGCUACGGAGCUCCCACUCACUUUCUUGUAAACGCAGGCUUCUCCAUAAGUCUGCAUAAACCCAAACGCUUUGAUCAUCUCAUCAAAGCGAAUGUUCCAACUCCGAGAUGCUUGCACCAGCCCAUAAAUCGAGCGUUGGAGCUUGCACACCUUGUCAGCAUUCUUAGGAUCGACAAAACCUUCCGGCUGCAUCAUAUACAAUUCUUCCUUAAGGAAACCAUUAAGGAAUGCCGUUUUGACGUCCAUUUGCCAUAUCUCAUAAUCAUAGAAUGCGGCAAUUGCUAACAUGAUUCAGACGGACUUCAGCUUCGCUACCGGUGAGAAAGUCUCAUCAUAGUGAACCCCUUGAACUUGUCGAUAACCCUUAGCGACAAGCUGAGCUUUAUAGAUGGUCACAUUACCAUCCGCGUCUGUCUUCUUCUUAAAGAUCCAUUUAUUUUCUAUGGCUCGCCGCUCAACGGGCAAGUCAAUCAAAGUCCAUACUUCGUUUUCAUACAUGGAUCCUAUCUCGGAUUUCAUGGCUUCCAGCCAUUUGUCGGAAUCCGGGCCCGCCAUCGCUUCUUCAUAGUUCGAAGGUUCACCGUUUUAUAACAACAUGAUUUCCAAGACAGGGUUGCCGUACCAUUCUGGUGCAGAACAUGUCCUUGUGGACCUUCGAAUUUCAGUAGGAGCUUGAUCAGAAGUAUCUUGAUCAUCAUCAUUAACUUCCUCUCUAAUUGGUGCAGGCACCAUAGGAACAUUUUCUUGAGUUGCGCCACUUUCCGGUUCAAGAGGUAAUACUUCAUCAAGUUCUACUUUCCUCCCACUUACUUCUUUCAAGAGAAACUCCUUCUCUAGAAAGGAUCCAUUCUUGGCAACAAAGAUCUUGCCUUCGGAUCUGAGGUAGAAGGUAUACCCAAUAGUUUCUUUAGGGUAUCCUAUGAAGACGCAUUUUUCCGACUUGGGUUCGAGCUUUUCAGGUUGAAGUUUCUUGACAUAAGCAUCGCAUCCCCAAACUUUUAGAAACAAUAGCUUAGGUUUCUUCCCAAACCAUAAUUCAUACGGUGUCGUCUCAACGGAUUUCGACGGAGCCCUAUUUAAAGUGAAUGCGGCAGUCUCUAAAGCAUAGCCCCAAAAUGAUAGCGGUAAAUCGGUAAGAGACAUCAUAGAUCGCACCAUAUCUAAUAGAGUGCAAUUACGACGUUCGGACACACCAUUACGCUGAGGUGUUCCAGGCGGCAUGAGUUGUGAAACUAUUCCACAUUUUCUUAAGUGUGUGCCAAAUUCGUGACUCAAGUAUUCUCCUCCACGAUCUGAUUGCAGGAACUUGAUUUUCCUGUCAUGUUUAUUCUCAACCUCACUCUGAAAUUCCUUGAACCUUUCAAAGGUCUCAGACUUGUGUUUCAUUAAGUAGACAUACCCAUAUCUACUCAAGUCAUCAGUGAGGGUGAGAACAUAACGAUAGCCACCGCGAGCCUCAACACUCAUUGGACCGCACACAUCAGUAUGUAUGAUUUCCAAUAAGUUGGUUGCUCGCUCCAUUGUUCCUGAGAACGGAGUCUUGGUCAUUUUACCCAUGAGGCAUGGUUCACACGUGUCAAAUGAUUCAUAAUCAAGAGACUCUAAAAGUCCAUCUGCAUGGAGCUUCUUCAUGCGUUUGACACCUAUGUGACCAAGGCGGUAGUGCCACAAGUAUGUGGGACUAUCAUUAUCAACCUUACAUCUUUUGGUAUUCACACUAUGAAUAUGUGUAGCAUUACGCUCGAGAUUCAUUAAGAAUAAACCAUUCACCAUUGGAGCAUGACCAUAAAACAUAUCUCUCAUAUAAAUAGAACAACCAUUAUUCUCGGAUUUAAAUGAGUAGCCAUCUCGUAUUAAACGAGAUCCUGAUACAAUGUUCAUGCUCAAACUUGGCACUAAAUAACAAUUAUUGAGGUUCAAAACUAAUCCCGUAGGUAAAUGUAGAGGUAGCAUGCCGACGGAGAUCACAUCGACCUUGGAACCAUUCCCGACGCGCAUCGUCACCUCGUCCUUCGCCAGUCUCCGCUUAUUCCGCAGCUCCUACUUUGAGUUACAAAUGUGAGCAACUGCACCGGUAUCAAAUACCCAGGAGCUACUACGAGUACUGGUAAGGUACACAUCAAUUACAUGUAUAUCACAUAUACCUUUCGUUUUGCCGGCCUUCUUGUCCGCUAAGUAUUUGGGGCAGUUCCGCUUCCAAUGACCACUUUCCUUGCAAUAAAAGCACUCAGUCUCGGGCUUGGGUCCAUUCUUUGGCUUCUUCCCGGCAGCUUGCUUGCCGGGCGCGGCAACUCCCUUGCUGUCCUUCUUGAAGUUCUUCUUACCCUUGCCUUUCUUGAACUUAGUGGUUUUAUUCACCAUCAAUACUUGAUGUUCCUUUUUGAUUUCUACCUCUGCUGAUUUCAGCAUUGCAAAUACUUCAGGAAUGGUCUUUUCCAUCCCCUGCAUAUUGAAGUUCAUCACAAAGCUCUUGUAGCUCGGUGGAAGCGACUGAAGGAUUCUGUCAAUGACCGCGUCAUCCGGGAGAUUAACUCCCAGCUGAGUCAAGCGGUUAUGUAACCCAGACAUAGUGAGUAUGUGCUCACUGACAGAACUGUUUUCCUCCAUCUUACAGCUGAAGAACUUGUCGGAGACUUCAUAUCUCUCGACCCGGGCAUGAGCUUGAAAAACCAUUUUCAGCUCUUCGAACAUCUCAUAUGCUCCGUGUCUCUCAAAACGCUUUUGGAGCCCCGCUUCUAAGCUGUAAAGCAUGCCGCACUGAACGAGGGAGUAAUCAUCGGUAUGUGUCUGCCAAGCGUUCAUAACGUCUUGUUCUGCAGGGAGAACAGGUGCGUCACCUAGUGGUGCUUGUAGGACAUAAUCUUUCUUGGCAUCUAUGAGGAUGAUCCUCAGGUUCCGAACCAAGUCCGUAUAGUUGCUGCCAUCGUCUUUCAGCUUGGUUUUCUCUAGGAACGCGUUGAAGUUGAGGACAACGUUGGCCAUUUGAUCUACGAGACAUAUUGUAAAUAUUUUAGACUAAGUUCAUAAUAAUUAAGUUCAUCUAUUUAAAAUUAUUCAAUGAACUCCCACUCAGAUAGACAUCCCUCCAGUCAUCUAAGUAUAACAUGAUCCGAGUUAACUAGGCCGUGUCCGAUCAUCACGUGAGACGGACUAGUCAACAUCGGUGAACAUCUUCAUGUUGAUCGUAUCUUCUAUACGACUCAUGCUCGACCUUUCGGUCUUCUGUGUUCCGAGGCCAUGUCUGUACAUGCUAGGCUCGUCAAGUCAACCUAAGUGUUUGCAUGUGUAAAUCUGUCUUACACCCGUUGUAUGUGAACGUUGGAAUCUAUCACACCCGAUCAUCACGUGGUGCUUCGACACAACAAACUGUCGCAACGGUGCACAGUUAGGGGGAACACUUUCUUGAAAUUAUUAUGAGGGAUCAUCUUAUUUACUACCGUCGUUCUAAGUAAACAAGAUGCAAAAACAUGAUAAACAUCACAUGCAAUCAAAUAAUAAUAGUGACAUGAUAUGGCCAAUAUCACAUAGCUCCUUUGAUCUCCAUCUUGGGGCUCCAUGAUCAUCUUGUCACCAUCAUGACACCAUGAUCUCCAUCAUCAUGAGAUCUCCAUCAUCGUGUCUCCAUGAAGUUGCUCGCCAACUAUUACUUCUACUACUAAGGCUAACACGUUUAGCAAUAAAGUAAAGUAAUUUACAUGGCAUUUCUCAAUGACACGCAGGUCAUACAAAAAAUAAAGACAACUCCUAUGGCUCCUGCCGGUUGUCAUACUCAUCGACAUGCAAGUUGUGAUUCCUAUUACAAUAGCAUGAACAUCUGAUACAUCACAUAUAUAUCAUUCAUCAUUCACCACAACUUUGGCCAUAUCACAUCACAAAACACUUGCUGCAAAAACAAGUUAGACGUCCUCUAAUUGUUGUUGCAAGUUUCACGUGGCUGCAAUAGGGUUCUAGCAAGAACGUUUUCUUACCUACGUGAAAGCCACAACGUGAUUUGUCAACUUCUAUUUACCCUUCAUAAGGACCCUUUUCAUCGAAUCCGCUCCAACUGAAGUGGGAGAGACAGACACCCGCCAGCCACCUUAUGCAACUAGUGCAUGUUAGUCGGUGGAACCGGUCUCACGUAAGCGUACGUGUAAGGUUGGUCCGGGCCGCUUCAUCCCACAAUACCGCUGAAGCAAAAUAAGACUAGUAGCGGCAAGAAAGUUGACAACAUCUACGCCCACAACAAAUUGUGUUCUACUCGUGCAAGAAGAACUACGCAUAGACCUAGCUCAUGAUGCCACUGUUGGGGAACAUUGCAGAAAACAAAAAUUUUCCUAUGGUUUCACCAAGAUCCAUCUAUGAGUUCAUCUAGCAACGAGUGAUCGGAUUGCAUCUACAUACCUUUGUAGAUCACGCGCGGAAGCGUUCAAAUAACGGGGAUGAGGAAGUCGUACUCGACAUGACCCAAAUCACCGGAGAUCCUAGCGCCGAACGAACGACACCUCCGCGUUCAACACACGUACGGUCAGCGUGACGUCUCUUCCUUCUUGAUCCAGCAAGGGGGAAGGAGAGGUUGAUGAAGAUCCAGCAGCACGACGGCGUGGUGGUGGAUGAAGGGGUCACCGCAGCAGGGCUUCGCCGUUCUACUACGAGAGGGAGAGGUGUAGCAGGGGAGAGGGAGGCGCCAAGACUCAAGGGUGUUGCUGCCCCUCCCUUCCCCCCUUUAUAUAGGCCCCCUAGGGGGUGCGCCGGCCCUAGGAGACGGGAUCUCCUAGGGGGGCGGCGGCCAAGGGGUGGAGUGCCCCCCAAGCCAGGUGGGGCGCCCCCCCACCCUAGGGUUCCCAACCCUAGGCGCAUGGGAUGGGCCAGGGGGGGCGCACCAGUCCACUAUGGGCUGGUUCCCCUCCCCACUUAGCCCAUGGGGCCCUCCCGGAUGGGUGGCCCCACCCGGUGAACCCCCGGGACCCUUCCGGUGGUCCCGGUACAAUACCGGUGACCCCCGAAACUCUCCCGGUGGCCGAAACUGCACUUCCUAUAUAUAAUUAUUCACCUCCGGACCAUUCCGGAACUCCUCGUGACGUCCAGGAUCUCAUCUGGGACUCUGAACAACUUUCGGGUUACUGCAUAUUCAUAUCUCUACAACCCUAGCGUUACCGAACCUUAAGUGUGUAGACCCUACGGGUUCGGGAGACAUGUAGACAUGACCGAGAUGGCUCUCCGGUCAAUAACCAACAGUGGGAUCUGGAUACCCAUGUUGGCUCCCACAUGCUCCUCGAUGAUCUCAUCGGAUGAACCAUGAUGUCGAGGAUUCAAGCAACCCCGUAUACAAUUCCCUUUGUCAAUUGGUACGUUACUUGCCCGAGAUUCGAUCAUCGGUAUCCCAAUACCUCGUUCAAUCUCGUUGCCGGCAAGUCACUUUACUUGUACCGUAAUGCAUGAUCCCGUGACAAGACACUUGGUCACUUUGAGCUCGUUGUGAUGAUGCAUUACUGAGUGGGCCCAGAGAUACCUCUCCGUCAUAUGGAGUGACAAAUCCCAGUCUUGAUCUGUGUCAACCCAACAGACACUUUCGGAGAUACCCGUAGUAUACCUUUAUAGUCACCCAGUUACGUUGUGACGUUUGGUACACCCAAAGCACUCCUACGGUAUCCAGGAGUUACAGGAUCUCAUGGUCUAAGGAAAAGAUACUUGACAUUGGAAAAACUCUAGCAAACGAACUAUACGAUCUUGUGCUAUGUUUAGGAUUGGGUCUUGUCCAUCACAUCAUUCUCCUAAUGAUGUGAUCUCGUUAUCAAUGACAUCCAAUGUCCAUAGUCAGGAAACCAUGACUAUCUGUUGAUCAACGAGCUAGUCAACUAGAGGCUUACUAGGGACAUGUUGGUGUCUAUGUAUUCACACAUGUAUUACAAUUUUCGGAUAACACAAUUAUAGCAUGAAUAAAAGACAAUUAUCAUGAACAAGGAAAUAUAAUAAUAAUCCUUUUAUUAUUGCCUCUAGGGCAUAUUUCCAACAGGAUUACCAUCCGCAUCUGUUUUUACCUUGGAGAUCCAUUUACAUUGUAUGGGUUUCACACCCACUAGAGGAUCGACAAGUUCCAAACUUGAUUCUCGUACAUGGACUCCAUUUCAGAUUGCAUGGCUCUGAGCCAUUUUUUGAGCUGAGUGUUGCAAUCGCUUCCAUGUAGUGUGCAUGCUCAUCUUCCUCUAAGAUGAAUAUUUCAUUAUGAAACCAUUCAGGAGGUUCGACAACUCUUCCUGACCUACGAGGAGAAAGGAUUGAGAUGGACCUAGAGGGGGUGAAUAGGUACAAUUACAAAAUUUAAUUCUUAAUUAGCAAUUCUAGGCAAUAAUGUGGAAUAUGAAAGCGAGCCAAACAAUUGCAAAUGUGAGACAAGAGCUAAGCAAGGUGAACAAGUUCAACAAGUAAGUGGAUAAACAAGCACAAUAUAAUUCAAGUAAAUACUAGGUGACAAAUAACCACAAGUAGGAAGCUAGGGUUAGGAAUAACCGCAACUCCGAGAGACAAGGAUGUAUGUUGAUGUUCACUUCCUUGGAGGGAAGCUACGUCACUGUUUAGAAAGGUGGAUAUUACCAUGAAGGCUCACCCUAUUCUCUCUUUGAGAUAUCACCACGAAGGCAAUUCUCAACCAUUACUAGUAGACCUUGGGGUGGUCUCCAAACCCUCACAAACUUUCCGGGUGUAAUCACAAUGAACAAUUCCUCUCCGAAGAACUCCUACUGCCUAGGAGUCUCCAACCUCCAGGAGUAACAAGAACGAUGGCGAAAAGCUCAAGACUUGCUCAAAUCACGAAUUCUUUUGGUCAAGAGAAGGGGAAGGAGUGGAUCCAUCACUUGAUUGGACAACUUCUUGAGAACUCUCUCAAAUCCCUUUGGGAUCUAGGAUUUGGUGUAUGAGAUUGUGUGAGAGAGUGAAAUGUGUUCUAGGGUUAGCUCAAAGUGAAUGGUCAAACUUUUCUUGGAGUGGAAGAAGGCUAUAUAUAGUGGUGGAGAAAAUAUGACCGUUGUAGAGUAAGUGCUUGUGCCCGGCCGGACAUCCGGGCCAAGUGCCAGACAUCCGACGUAGAGAGAUUGCCAUACGUAAAUACAUUGCACAUGAGUGAAACAGAGGAGCCGGACAUCUGGCGCACCAGGGGAGGCCCGGACAUUUGGUAGUGUGUCGAACAUCCAGCGUGAGCAUCCACCAGAGUGUCAAAUUACUGGAUGUGUCCGGUCGGAUAUCCGGGGGGCACACAUCUGAUAGAACACGAGCGCUCGGACAUCUGGCCACCAUAUUACGGAAAUGUGAGGCUAUCUGGAUAGACAGAGUCGGAUAUUCGGGGGAGCCCCAGACCUCCAACCACAAAGGAAUGCCCAGACAUCCGACCGUCUGGGACAAUGAGAAGCAACCUUCUCUGUGUUGUGCGGGCCGGAUUUUCAGCUAGUUCCCGAACAUCCGGCCACCCUCAACAUAAAAUUCUUAUGAGAGAUAGUGGGGGGAAGAAUGUGUGGAAAAGAUUGAACCCACUUUUGUUUGAAUGAGAUGGUUAUUUUAGGAGAGGUGGCUAGAUAGAAAAGGGAAGGAAUUUGCUAUGACUUGAGCAUGUCUUUUACUAACCCUAUCGAUCCCCUCUUAAUAGUGCGGGAUCCCUAUACUCAAGAAUGAAAGAAAACGAGAUCUAUAAACCUCUUUGUUCCUUCUUCCUUGAGUCGUAUCAAUUCUAUGUGUCCGUGAUCCACACAAAUUGUCACUUGAGGACUAACACCCGAGAUUUACUUGGCAAACAUAGUUAGUCCCCUACAUUACAUUAUCAUUAGCAAAAAAAAUAUGAUGUAAGGGCAUGAUUGCACUUUCACGCGGUUCAGUUACAGUCUCAAUUGUAGUUUCUACAGUUGGUGUAGUAACUUCUGGUUCAGUUGUGCGGACAACUUAUGGAACCGAUUCUGUUUCGUAAGUUGAUGUCUACUACACAACCUUCUUCUUGUAGACAUUGUUGGGCCUCCAAGUGCAGAGGUUUGUAGGAUGGUAGCAAAUUUCCCUCAAGUGGAUGACCUAAGGUUUAUCAAUCCGUGGGAGGCGUAAUGAAGAUGGUCUCUCUCAAGCAACCCUGCAACCAAAUAACAAAGAGUCUCUUGUGUCCCAAACACACCCAAUACAAUGGUAAAUUGUAUAGGUGCACUAGUUCGGCGAAGAGAUGGUGAUACAAGUGCAAUAUGGAUGAUAGCUAAAGGUUUUUGUAAUCUGAAAAUAUUAAAACAGCAAGGUAACUAAUGAUAAAAGUGAGCACAAACGGUAUUGCAAUGUGUUGAAACAAGGCCUAGGGUUCAUACUUUCACUAAUGCAAGUUCUCCCAAUAAUAAUAACAUAAUUGGAUCAUAUAACUAUCCCUCAACAUGCAACAAAGAGACACUCCAAAGUCACUAAUAGCGGAGAACAAACGAAUAGAUUAUGGUAGGGUACAAAACCACCUCAAAGUUAUCCUUUUUGAUUGAUCUAUUCAAGAGUCCAUAGUAAAAUAACACGAAGCUAUUCUUUCCGUUCAAUCUAUCCUAGAGUUCGUACUAGAAUAACACCUUAAGACACAAAUCAACCAAAACCCCAAUGUCACCUAGAUAUGCCAAUGUCACCUCAAGUAUCCGUGGGUAUGAUUAUACGAUAUGCAUCACACAAUCUCAGAUUCAUCUAUUCAAACCAACACAAAGUACUUCAAAGAGUGCCCCAAAAUUUCUACCGGAGAGUCAAGACGAAAACGUGUGCCAACCGCUAUGCAUAGGUUCAUGGGCGGAACCCGCAAGUUGAUCACCAAAAUAUACAUCAAGUGGAUCAAUAGAAUACCCCAUUGUCACCACGGGUAUCCCACGCAAGACAUACAUCAAGUGUUCUCAAAUCCUUAAAGACUCAAUACGAUAAGAUAACUUCAAAGGGAAAACUCAAUCCAUUACAAGAGAGUAGAUGGGGAGAAACAUCAUAAGAUCCAACUAUAAUAGCAAAGCUCGCGAUACAUCAAGAUCGUACCACCUUAAGAACACGAGAGAGAGAGAGAGAGAGAUCAAACACAUAGCUACUGGUACAUACCCUCAACCCCGAGGGUGGACUACUCCCUCCUCGUCAUGGAGAGCGCCGGGAUGAUGAAGAUGGCCACCGGAGAGGGAUUCCCCCCUCCGGCAGGGUGCCGAAAUGGGUCGAGAUUGGUUUUCGAUGGCUACGGAGGCUUAUGGCGAUGGAACUCCCGAUCUAUUUUGCUCUCCGAUGGUUUUAGGAUAUAUUGGUAUAUAUAGGAGGAAGAAAUACGUCAGGGGGCCACGAGGGGCCCACGAGGGUGGAGGGCGCGUCCAGGGGGGUGGGCGCGCCCCCCCUGUCUCGUGCCUUCCUCGUUGCUUCCCUUACGUACACCCCAAGUCUUCUGGAUUGCUUCCAUCCCAAAAAUAAGUUCUGUGAAGUUUCAGGUCAAUUGGACUCCAUUUGAUUUUCCUUUUCUGCGAUACUCUAAAACAAGGAAAAAAACAGAAACUGGCACUGGGCUCUGGGUUAAUAGGUUAGUCCCAAAAAUAAUAUAAAAGUGUAUAAUAAAGCCCAUAAAUAUCCAAAACAAAUAAUAUAAUAGCAUGGAACAAUCAAAAAUUAUAGAUACGUUGGAGACGUAUCAGCAUCCCCAAGCUUAAUUCAUGCUCGUCCUCGAGUAGGUAAAUGAUAAAAACGGAAUUUUUGAUGUGGAAUGCUACCUAACAUAUUUAUCCAUGUAAUUCUCUUUACUGUGGCAAGAAUAUUCAGAUCCAUAGGAUUCAAGACAAAAGUUUAAUAUUGACAUAAAAAUAAUAAUACUUCAAGCAUACUAACAAAGUAAUCAUGUCUUCUCAAAAUAACAUGGCCAAAGAAAGCUAUCCCUACAAAAUCAUAUAGUCUGGCUAUGCUCCAUCUUCACCACACAACGUAUUUAAAUCAUGCACAACCCCGAUGACAAGCCAACCAAUUGUUUCAUACUUUUGGUGUUCUCAAACUUUUUCAAUCUUCACGCAAUAUAUGAGCGUGAGCCAUGGAUAUAGCACUAUAGGUGGAAUAGAAUGGUGGUUGUGGAGAAGACAAAAAGGAGAAGAUAGUCUCACAUCAACUAGGCGUAUCAACGGGCUAUGGAGAUGCCCAUUAAUAGAUAUCAAUGUGAGUGAGUAGGGAUUGCCAUGCAACAGAUGCACUAGAGCUAUAAAUGUAUGAAAGCUCAACAAAAGAAACUAAGUGGGUGUGCAUCCAACUUGCUUGCUCAUGAAGACCUAGGGCACUUGAGGAAGCCCAUUGUUGGAAUAUACAAGCCAAGUUCUAUAAUGAAAAUUUCCCACUAGUAUAUGAAAGUGAUAUCAUAGGAGACUCUCUAUCAUGAAGAUCAUGGUGCUACUUUGAAGCACAAGUGUGGUAAAAGGAUAGUAGUAUUGUCCCCCUUUUUUGGGCCUUCCUUUUUUUAUUUGGCCUUUUUUGGGACAAUACUCUAUGAAUGAUGAUCACCACACUUCUAUUUAUUUACAACUCAAUGAUUACAACUCGAUACUAGAACAAAGUAUGACUCUGUAUGAAUGCCUCCGGCGGUGUACCGGGAUGUGCAAUGACUCAUGAGUGACAUGUAUGAAAGAAUUAUGAACGGUGGCUUUGCCACAAAUACAAUGUCAACUACAUGGUCAUGCAAAGCAAUAUGACAAUGAUGAAGCGUGUCAUAAUAACGGAACGGUGGAAAGUUGCAUGGCAAUAUAUCUCGGAAUGGCUAUGGAAAUGCCAUAAUAGGUAGGUAUGGAGGCUGUUUUGAGGAAGGUAUAUGGUGGGUGUAAGAUACCGGCGAAAGUUGCGCGGUACUAGAGAGGCUAGCAAUGGUGGAAGGGUGAGAGUGCGUAUAAUCCAUGGACUCAACAUUAGUCAUAAAGAACUCACAUACUUAUUGCAAAAAUCUAUUAGUUAUCGAAAACAAAGUACUAUGCGCAUGAUCCUAGGGGGAUAGAUUGGUAGGAAAAGACCAUCGUUCGUCCCCGACCGCCACUCAUAAGGAAGACAAUCAAUAAAUAGGUCAUGCUCCGACUUCGUCACAUAACGGUUCACCGUACGUGCAUGCUACGGGAACCACAAACUUCAACACAAGUAUUUCUCAAAUUCACAACUACUCAACUAGCAUGACUCUACUAUCACCAUCUCCAUAUCUCAAAACAAUUAUCAAGUAUCAAACUUCUCAUAGUAUUCAAUGCACUUUAUAUGAAAGUUUUUAUUAUAUCCCUCUUGGAUGCCCAUCAUAUUAGGACUAAUUUCAUAAACAAAGCAAAUUACCAUGCUGUUCUAAAGACUCUCAAAAUAAUAUAAGUGAAGCACUAGAGUUCAACUAUUUCUUCAAAAUAAAAUCACCGCCGUGCUCUAAAAGAUAUAAGUGAAGCACUAGAGCAAAUGACUAACUACUCCAAAAGAUAUAAGUGAAGAUCAAUGAGUAGUCGAAUAAUUAUGCAACUAUGUGAAGACUCUCUAACAUUUAAGAAUUUCAGAUUUGGUAUUUUAUUCAAACAGCAAGCGAAACUAAAUAAAAUAAAAUGACGCUCCAAGCAAAACACAUAUCAUGUGGUAAAUAAAAAUAUAGCUUCAAGUAAAGUUACCGAUGAACGAAGACGAAAGAGGGGAUGCCCCUGAACGAAGACGAAAGAGGGGAUGCCUUCCGGGGCAUCCCCAAGCUUAGGCUUUUGGUUGUCCUUGAAUAUUACCUUGGGGUGCCUUGGACAUCCCCAAGAUUAGGCUCUUUCCACUCCUUAUUCCAUAGUCCAUUGAAUCUUUACCCAAAACUUAAAAACUUCACAACACAAAACUUAACAGAAAACUCGUAAGCUCCGUUAGCGAAAGAAAACAAAACACCACUUCAAGGUACUGUAAUGAACCCAUUCUUUAUUUAUAUUGGUGUUAAACCUAUUGUAUUCCAACUUCUCUAUGGUUUAUAAACUCUUUUACUAGCCAUAGAUUCAUCAAAAUAAGUAAACAACACAUGAAAAACAGAAUAUGUCGAAAACAGAAUAGUCUGUACUAAUCUGUAACUAACGCAAACUUCUGAAACCUCAAAAUUCUAAAAUAAAAUUCUGGACAUGAGGAAUUUAUCUAUUAAUCAUCUUCAAAAAGAAUUAACUAAAUAUCACUCUCCAAUAAAAACUGGCAGCAAUUCUCGUGAGCGCUAAAGUUUCUGUUUUUUACAGCAAGAUCAACAAGACUUUCCCCAAGUCUUCCCAACAGUUCUACUUGGCACAAACACUAAUUAAAAGCAUAAAACCACAUAUAAACAGAGGCUAGAUGAAUUAUUUAUUAUUAAGCAGGAGCAAAAAGUAAAGAACAAGAAUAUGAUUGGGUUGCCUCCCAACAAGCGCUAACGUUUAACGCCCCUAGCUAGGCAUGAUGAUUUCAAUGAUGCUCACAUAAAAAAUAAGAAUUGUAACAUAAAUAGAGCAUCAUGAAGAAUAUGACUAGCACAUUUAAGCCUAACCCACUUCCUAUGCACAGAGAUUUUGUGAGCAAACAACUUAUGGGAACAAUAAUCAACUAGCAUAGAAGGGCAAAACAAGCAUAACUUCAAAACUUUAAGCACAUAGAGAGGAAACUUGAUAUUAUUGCAAUUCCUACAAGCAUAUGUUCCUCCCUCAUAAUAAUUUUCAGUAGAAUAAUGAAUGAAUUCAACAAUAUAACUAUAACAUAAAGCAUUCUUUUCAUGAUCUACAAUCAUAGAAAACUUACUACUCUCUACAUAAGCAAAAUUCUUCUCAAUCGGAAUAGUGGGAGUAUCAUAAGAGACUCGAAUAAUGUAAAUUGUUUCCACACUAAAAGAGUAAUGUUCAGAAAAGGGGUAAUCAUAAUCAUGACAAGUUUUAUAAAUAUAAUCAUCACUACUUUUUAUAGCAUACGUGUCCUCACAAUAAUCAUCAUAAGUAGCAACUUUGUUCUCAUCAUAAUCGAUUGAAACCUCUUCCAAGAUAGUGGAAUCAUCACUAAAUAAAGUCAUGACCUCUCCAAAUCCACUUUCAUAAUUAUCAUAAUAAGAUUCAACAUCCUCCAAAAUAGUGGGAUCAUUACUUCCUAAAGUUGACACUCUUCCAAACCCACUUUCAUCAAUAUAAUCAUCAUAAGUAGGAGGCAUGCUAUCAUCAUUAUAAAUUUGCAUAUCAAAACUUGGGGACUAAAAAUAUCAUAUUCAUUAAACGUAGCAUCCCCAAGCUUGGGACAAACAUUAAUUGCAGCAAAUAUAUUCUCAAAAACAUCAUCUUCAUCAAAAAUAGCAUCCCCAAGCUUGGGCAUUUUCAUAUCAUAAGCAUAAUCACUCUCAUCAUCAAUAGUAUGGAUAGCACCAAUAGUAUAGCAAUUAUCAUAUUCUUCCAAGCAAGUGCCAAAAAGAUUUUCAAGAUCAUAAGAAGUAUCAUUAUCUUUCCAAUCAUAAUCAUCACAACAAGCAAUAGGCAUAACGAGAUCAUCAUCAAGUGCAUCAUCUUCCACAAUUAUAUUUUCAUGAGGCACAAUAGUAAUAGGAGCAGCAUUAUUUGGGAGAGAUAUCUUUUUUACCUCUCUUCCUUUUUCUUUUCUUCUUCUUCAGCACAUCAUGUGUGGGUUCAAUCCUCUUUUUGGAGCUCCUUAUUAAUGAGAUUGGUUGAAUAGAAGGCUCCUCCUUGUUACCUGAUUCAUCAUAAGAAAUAAUAGGAGGAUAUGGGGAAGUCUCUUCCCUUUCAUUAGUAUUCUCUUCAUAUUCUAUUUGUUUUCUUUUCUUUAUGUAAUUGGCAAUAUAAGGAUUUUCAAUACAAUUCACAUCACAAUACAUAAAUUUCUUCUAGAUCAAUAUCGAGGAAUUUCUUGAGGUUAUAUUCUGGAAUAAUGUUAGUUUGACGUUUCAUUUCUUCAUAACCGAAAAGCAAACUAAGUUCAUUAUAAUGUGCAAGGGAAAUCAAAUCAUCACAAUUUUUGGACAUGAUUCGAUCAUGAAACAAUUUGCAUUUGAUAUUUAAAUGACCAUGUUCAUUGCAAAGUUCACAAGUAUGGCUAAGAAAUUUUAAAUUUUCAGCACUAACAUUUAGCCUUUCUUGCAACCAUUUAGUUUCUAAGUGCUUAUGCCUCUUGCAAUAUCUAUCUUCCCUAUUUGGUGUGUACUUGCAACCCCAAUGCACUCCACAAAAAUUGACAUGUUUAUCAGAGACAUUUUCAUCAUAACUAGUGCAAUCAUCAUUAGUACUAUGGAUAUUCAAGGAGUUCAUACUAACAACAUUGCAAUCAUGCUCAUCUUUCCAAGAUUUAGUGCCAAACAUUUUAAUGCAUUCUUCUUCUAACGCUUUGGCAUAAUUUUCCUUCCCAUCAUACUCACGAAAGAUAUUAAAAAUAUGAAGCGUAUGAGGCAAACUCAAUUCCAUAUUUUUUUUGUAGUUUUCUUUUAUAAACUAAACUAGUGCUAAAACAAGAAACAAAAAGAUUCGAUUGCAAGAUCUAAAGAUAUACCUUCAAGCGCUAACCUCCCCGGCAACGGCGCCAGAAAAGAGCUUGAUGUCUACUACACAACCUUCUUCUUGUAGACAUUGUUGGGCCUCCAAGUGCAGAGGUUUGUAAGACAGUAGCAAAUUUCCCUCAGGUGGAUGACCUAAGGUUUAUCAAUCCGUGGGAGGCGUAGGAUGAAGAUGGUCUCUCUCAAGCAACCCUGCAACCAAAUAACAAAGAGUCUCUUGUGUCCCCAACACACCCAAUACAAUGGUAAAUUGUAUAGGUGCACUAGUUCGGCGAAGAGAUGGUGAUACAAGUGCAAUAUGGAUGAUAGAUAAAGGUUUUUGUAAUCUGAAAAUAUUAAAACAGCAAGGUAACUAAUGAUAAAAGUGAGCACAAAUGGUAUUGCAAUGCGUUGAAACAAGGCCUAGGGUUCAUACUUUCACUAGUGCAAGUUCUCUCAACAAUUAUAACAUAAUUGGAUCAUAUAACUAUCCCUCAACAUGCAAUAAAGAGUCACUCCAAAGUGACUAAUAGCGGAGAACAAACAAAGAGAUUAUGGUAGGGUACGAAACCACCUCAAAGUUAUCCUUUCUGAUCGAUCUAUUCAAGAGUCCGUAGUAAAAUAACAUGAAGCUAUUCUUUCCAUUCAAUCUAUCCUAGAGUUCGUACUAGAAUAACACCUUAAGACACAGAUCAACCAAAACCCUAAUGUCACCUAGAUACGCCAAUGUCACCUCAAGUAUCUGUGGGUAUGAUUAUACGAUAUGCAUCACACAAUCUCAGAUUCAUCUAUUCAAACCAACACAAAGUACUUCAAAGAGUGCCCCAAAGUUUCUACCGGAGAGUCAAGACGAAAACGUGUGCCAACCGCUAUGCAUAGGUUCAUGGGCGGAACCUGCAAGUUGAUCACCAAAACAUACAUCAAGUGGAUCAAUAGAAUACCCCAUUGUCACCACGGGUAUCCCACGCAAGACAUACAUCAAGUAUUCUCAAAUCCUUAAAGACUCAAUCCGAUAAGAUAACUUCAAAGGGAAAACUCAAUCCAUUACAAGAGAGUAGAGGGGGAGAAACAUCAUAAGAUCCAACUAUAAUAGCAAAGCUCGCGAUACAUCAAGAUCGUACCACCUUAAGAACACGAGAGAGAGAGAGAGAUCAAACACAUAGCUACUGGUACAUACCCUCGGCCCUGAGGGUGGACUACUCCCUCCUCGUCAUGGAGAGCACCGAGAUGAUGAAGAUGGCCACCGAAGAGGGAUUCCCCCUCCGACAGGGUGCCGAAACGGGUCGAGAUUGGUUUUCGGUGGCUACGGAGACUUAUGGCGGCGGAACUCCCGAUCUAUUCUGCUCUCCGAUGGUUUCAGGAUAUAUUGGUAUAUAUAGGAGGAAGAAAUACGCCAGGAGGGCCACGAGGGGCCCACGAGGGUGGAGGGCGCGUCCAGGGGGUGGGCGCGCCCCCCCUGCCUCGUGCCUUCCUCGUUGCUUCCCUUACGUACACCCCAAGUCUUCUGAAUUGCUUCCGUUCUAAAAAUAAGUUCCUUGAAGUUUCAGGUCAAUUGGACUCCGUUUGAUUUUCCUUUUCUGCGAUACUCUAAAACAAGGAAAAAAACAGAAACUGGCACUGGGCUCUGGGUUAAUAGGUUAGUCCCCAAAAUAAUAUAAAAGUGUAUAAUAAAGCCCAUAAACAUCCAAAACAGAUAAUAUAAUAGCAUGUAACAAUGAAAAAUUAUAGAUACGUUGGAGACGUAUCAUAAGUCAUGUCCACUUCUGAAGAUUCAGUAAUCUCGUCAAGCUGUAUUGUCCUCCCACUUACUUCUUUAGCGAGAAACUCUUUCUCGAGAAAGUGUCCAUUCUUAGCAGCAAACACUUUGUCUUCAGACUUUUGGUAGAAGGAAUACCCCAAUUGUUUCUUUGGGAUAACCUACAAAGUAGCAUUUGACUGCUUUGGGAUCGAGCUUAUUUGGUUGUAAACGUUUUACAUAAGUCUCGCAACCCCGGUCCUUGACUUCGCACACGAUUACUUUGGGCGAAACAUCAGCAAAUUUUGUCCCUGUAACAGACAAUUUAUCUGGGUCGUGUGUGAUCGACCCCCCUAUCGCCCACCUUAGCAAGGCUAUGGUUUGAAACUUUGUUCACCGAAAAGGGGUAAAUCCAUUUGCAUAUGAGUUAACUGCACUAGGGGAGCUUUGUCCGCACACAACCUCUAAAAAAUGGAGAUUUCUGUAGCACCUCUAUGUCAUCGUACGACCCUACUAUGUCAAGGAAAAGUGUCAAAUCCAGAGGUCGUGUGAUGUAACUACUUCAAGAUGAUGGUGAACUCUUUGCAAUGACCCUGGUAUUGUCCUUGUUGAGCAUAUUGACAGUUCUUCCAUUCCAGUGGAUGCAAUCCAGGGAUUCGAUCAUACCUGGAAACCCUCUUAAUUCUCCAAGUGACAUGCGCCUUUUGUGUUUGCGGCAACUGGUUCUCUCAAGUACUCUGGUCCUCCCGGACCAUUAUAGUAGCAAAUCUAACCAUGGCCUCUAAGCACGUGCUCUCAGACAUCCGAAGGUCCUCAUCCCAUUUAAUUUGCGGAUGUGCCAUAGGCAAGCAUUCUCAUAGCAAUCACGCACUUCUGAUAACCAGAUAACCCAAAGCAGCCAAUAACAUCCUUUUUCGGUUUAAAGUAAUCAUCAUAGGCCAUCAUACCUUCAUAGAUGUGUUCAAACUUCAAACACAUGUCGCCAUAUCUGGAAUUAGCGUCAGAAAUAGGGCUCAAAUAGCGUGUUGGGGGCAAAGUAGGCAUCAUACAGAUUCAUAUGCCCUCGUGCCCUAUUUUGAUUCAACAGUCGAUGCCCCUUUGUUGAAAUCUUGAAGUUGAGUACAUACUCCUCCACAAUCUCUAUUUCUUCAAGAAUCCUCCUCACCAGCCGUUUCAUCGCCAUAUUCCUCAUCAUCCGACAAAGAUCCAUGAACUCGGCGUAGAAGUACUCCUUGUCUGAAUCCAUCAUGUUUGUUUCAAAGUAAAGAACGAGAACACCAAAAUAUUUGGCGAUGACAUUUGAAACACUUGCCAGGCAUGUUGUCAGUCAUGGACAACGAUAGCAGCGCGGAGGGUACCUCGUCGACGGUUCGAUCUAGAUAUGAAGGCAUGGGCCAAGGCAGAAACACUUGGCUGGAGCGACAGAGCACCGAUAAGACUUGGACGCGGUCCGGGAUGGUACAACAUGGGCGGCGGUCUCUCAGAGCAUGCAUAGAAAGUGCAAAAGAGGGACACUAAAAAAACGACAACUCCAAAUGGGAUUUUUGGUGAGCCAGGGUUGUCAUAGUUUGACGUGACAUACGUUCAAACCCUUCCAAAGCUCUGUCAAUUUGGUUUCGGUUGAAAAAAUUCGGACGUUCGGAACGGUCCGGACAUUUUUAUACUUCACACUGAUUGUAUAAAUUGUCCGGACCAAUCGACCCAAAUAUUUACACGUGAUUUGAUGGUCAAUGUUGUGGUUGAGGUUUAUAUAGUAUAAUCUAAUCUGUUUCACUUUCACCGUAUUAGCCGGAUACUAGUGAUUCUAGUAGUUUGUGUCGUCGAGUCAUGGAUAUAGAAAGCAAGAAAAUACAAUGUAAUAUUAAAAAUUGUUAUCUGAAUUGAGGGUAACUCAUAUGGUUAGAUUUUUUGUGAUGAAGUCAAUCCGAAAAGUUAUAGAUUUGGCAAUGAUGUUUGCAUUUUCUUUAUUUAUCUCAGACUUUUUGAAGAUGUUCGUUACGAAAUAUCUGCGAUUACUUCGUCAAUUUUAAGAUAUGAUGCCGGUCAAUAUCUCAAACAUACUCAUAUGGAUACAUAUGGAUGAAUGAGUAUACCGCGUGUACAUGAGCAUCCGCGUUUGUACGUCAAAAAUAUUUUGGUGCGCCGAAAAACAGGCCAGACGUGGGAUUAAACAGAUACCGUGAAUCACGAGCGCAUGUUCCAGAAGAGCGCCACGAGUAACCGCGAGAGGCCACGCGUCCGUGGCGCUGGCAUACGUGUCGCGUCCGGUUCUCAGGUUCUGGUCGUCUCGCUGUCGAUCUGUUCCGAGGCGACUGGUUCUUCUCUGCUCCCUACCUCGGGCUUCAAAGAAUCAAAGUUCACUCCCUCGUUUGCCACCAUUGUACUACACGCAUAGCUUGCAGUGCUUGUGCAUUUCUCCGUAGCUUAGCUUGGCUAGCAGAGCAGAGGAAAAGGAGCAAAGAUGAGCAGCCACGAGACGCGCAAGUUCGUGGACGAGGUGCGGGGCCUGGAGAAGAACUGGAUGCUCGACCUCGGCCACCCCCUCCUCAACCGCGUCGCCGACAGCUUCGUCAAGGCCGCCGGGGUACCCAUUCUGCUAUGUACAAGUACUACAUUUGCUCCAGCGUAUGAUGCGUAAUUUGUGAAGAUAAUACUCCUGCCGUGACAGAUCGGCGCGAUACAGGCCGUCACGCGGGACUCCUACUUCAUGGCCAUCGAAGGUAACAAACCAUUCAUGCCAGUGCCAUUAGUACUAUAUAUAUACUACUGCGGCUGCCGGACUGUGUAGAGGGCUCACUCUGUUUUGGUCCUGGGUUAAUUUGCUGCUGCUGCAGGCGAGUCUGGGGGCACCGGAGCGGUGUCGGGCGCCACCGGCAGCAGCAAACGGACGUUCCCAGACCUCAAUGGUAACUCCACUUUUCACCAUCGGAACUAAUUGCCGAUUUGAUUUGUAUUUACUUCAGAUUGAUUCACGUAUGUUUCCUUCUCUUCUCUUUUUUGACUGGAAAAAGGAGGGACGAGCAACAGCAAGUCAGCGGAGGCCAUGGUAAGCAAGCAACGCCCACUUCUUGCUACCAAGAACACCGCCAUUUUGGCACUGUCAAUCCUUUCUCCUUAAUAAUGUUUUCUCUUGCUCUUCUCAGGUGAAAAGCGUCAGCAAGGAGUCGUUCCAGUGGGGUAAACAGUGCUCCCCUUAUAAUUUUGUUGAUGUUGUUGCUGGUUCUUGAGGUUGCCGAGCUUUGUUAACGUUGCACACUCGAUGCAGGGCUCGCGGCUGGGAUGCACUCCGGCCUCACCUACGGCCUGGCGGAGGUGCGCGGGACCCACGACUGGAAGAACAGCGCGCUGGCGGGCGCCGUCACAGGCGCGGCGGUCGCGCUGACCUCGGACAACGCUUCGCACGAGCAGGUUGUGCAAUGCGCCAUCACCGGCGCCGCGCUGUCGGCUGCCGCCAACGUGCUCUCCGACAUAGUUUAGGGAGUGCAUUCGUAUCAUACCACCCGAUGCCCCGGCGGAAGGCGAGCGGUAGUAGUAUGCGGAAUGGACUUGUUUAGGUGACGUGUUGUUGCGACUUGCGAGCGCACUUGUCCUGUGUUCCCUUCUUACGAUCUUUUUUUUUUCUUUCAAAACGGUCCUUCUUACGAUCUCGGUGUAGCCAGUUCAAAUAAUAACUGCCAUAUCUCCUUUCAUACAGAAAGGUUGGACGCUAUUCGCGGCGUCUUUGGUAGUGGUUAGGAUUUCAGGAAGAUAAAAAUUGGUUUGACCAAUGGGAAAGAGUGUUCUUUUUAUAAAAUCCGGUGUUUUAGUCGAUAAUCCACCUCUGAACCCAGACUCACAUGACCCUGGUGAACAGCAACGCCAUAAAAAAUUGAAAAAAGAUCUAAUGAAUCU